This 17-nucleotide small RNA is filed under the name Arabidopsis thaliana (thale cress). RNAcentral's name for it is "ATSL148020". The record is from RNAcentral. Lineage: Eukaryota; Viridiplantae; Streptophyta; Magnoliopsida; Brassicales; Brassicaceae.
AAAAAGAAGAAAAGAAU